UGGGGAAUAUUGGACAAUGGGGGCAACCCUGAUCCAGCCAUGCCGCGUGAGUGAUGAAGGCCUUCGGGUUGUAAAGCUCUUUUGGCGGGGACGAUGAUGACGGUACCCGCAGAAUAAGCCCCGGCUAACUUCGUGCCAGCAGCCGCGGUAAGACGAAGGGGGCUAGCGUUGUUCGGAAUUACUGGGCGUAAAGCGAGUGUAGGCGGUUGCCGUAGUCAGGUGUGAAAAGCCUUGAGCUCAACUCAAGAAAUGCACUUGAUACUGGGUGACUAGAGGACCGGAGAGGAUAGUGGAAUUCCCAGUGUAGUGGUGAAAUACGUAGAGAUUGGGAAGAACACCAGUGGCGAAGGCGGCUAUCUGGACGGUUACUGACGCUAAGACUCGAAAGCGUGGGGAGCAAAACAGGAUUAGAUACCCUGGUAGUCCACGCCGUAAAACGAUGGGUGCUAGACGUUGGCGAGCUUGCUCGUCAGUGUCGCAGCUAACGCGUUAAGCACCCCGCCUGGGGGAGUA
This 513-nucleotide ribosomal RNA is filed under the name uncultured bacterium. RNAcentral describes it as "partial 16S ribosomal RNA". It matches the Rfam family "Bacterial small subunit ribosomal RNA", at positions 355 to 882 of the family's 1533-position model. The record is from RNAcentral.